ACAUAUCAAUAAGCGGAGGAAAAGAAACCAACCGGGAUUGCCCUAGUAACGGCGAGUGAAGCGGCAAGAGCUCAAAUUUGAAAGCUGGCUCCUUCGGGGUCCGCAUUGUAAUUUGCAGAGGAUGCUUCGGGAGCGGUCCCCAUCUAAGUGCCCUGGAACGGGCCGUCAUAGAGGGUGAGAAUCCCGUCUGGGAUGGGGUGCCCGCGCCCGUGUGAAGCUCCUUCGACGAGUCGAGUUGUUUGGGAAUGCAGCUCUAAUUGGGUGGUAAAUUUCAUCUAAAGCUAAAUAUUGGCCGGAGACCGAUAGCGCACAAGUAGAGUGAUCGAAAGAUGAAAAGCACUUUGAAAAGAGAGUUAAACAGCACGUGAAAUUGUUGAAAGGGAAGCGCUUGCGAUCAGACUCGCCCGCGGGGUUCAGCCGGCAUUCGUGCCGGUGUACUUCCCCGUGGGCGGGCCAGCGUCGGUUUGGGCGGCCGGUCAAAGGCCCCUGGAAUGUAACGCCUCUCGGGGCGUCUUAUAGCCAGGGGUGCCAUGCGGCCUGCCCGGACCGAGGAACGCGCUUCGGCUCGGACGCUGGCAUAAUGGUCGUAAGCGACCCGUCUUGAAACACGGACCAAGGAGUCUAACAUCUACGCGAGUGUUCGGGUGUCAAACCCGUGCGCGCAGUGAAAGCGAACGGAGGUGGGAACCCCCCGGGGUGCACCAUCGACCGAUCCUGAUGUCUUCGGAUGGAUUUGAGUAAGAGCGUAGCUGUUGGGACCCGAAAGAUGGUGAACUAUGCCUGAAUAGGGCGAAGCCAGAGGAAACUCUGGUGGAGGCUCGCAGCGGUUCUGACGUGCAAAUCGAUCGUCAAAUUUGGGUAUAGGGGCGAAAGACUAAUCGAACCAUCUAGUAGCUGGUUCCUGCCGAA
This 909-nucleotide ribosomal RNA is filed under the name Penicillium sumatraense. Its description in RNAcentral is "LSU rRNA". It matches the Rfam family "Eukaryotic large subunit ribosomal RNA", at positions 38 to 965 of the family's 3401-position model. The record is from RNAcentral. Lineage: Eukaryota; Fungi; Ascomycota; Eurotiomycetes; Eurotiales; Aspergillaceae.